This is a long non-coding RNA of Vigna radiata var. radiata (mung bean), 1139 nucleotides long. RefSeq lists it as uncharacterized. The transcript has 2 exons. The record is from RefSeq and is a predicted model, not a curated record. NCBI's taxonomy places the organism in Eukaryota, Viridiplantae, Streptophyta, Magnoliopsida, Fabales, Fabaceae.
GCGUUAAAAUUUCAUGAUGACUUCACGAGCUUUGGAAUCAGGCAGCAAAAGGUGAUCAGUUAGAGCACUGAGUUUGGGAAUUAAAAUACCCCACACUGUUUCAGACACUACUCCAGAAAUCCAAAAUUGGUCAGUGUCUCAGUACUACACCCACGCCUACAGAAUAAUCCUUAAGGAAGAUAGAUACACAGAGAUAGAAAUGCAAGCCAAGAACUGAUAUGUACGAAUUCCUAAAGAAACAAUAGCAUUCACGGUUUAAAAUGAAAGCACAAUAUUUUGCAGUUUGAUAGGAAGAGAAUGUCAGCAGAACCUGACAUCAUAAUUUAAGAGGGCAGAGUGUCCAUAUCCAAGCAGGAAUAGUGGGUUCAUUUUUUGAAUCCCAAGAAAACAAACUCUCAUUAUCCUUCCUGUCUCACCCUAGCUAGAAAGGGACACAUCAACCCUAAUUUUACGUGCAGGUAAUCAUCAUUUAUAUUCACUGCUUCAGUGUUUGAUGUCUUUUUUUAUUUUUAUUUUUGCAUUUUUUUCUCACUCUAUUAAAUUUAUUUCAUUUAUUGUUAUAGACCGUGCUGACAGGGCUGAGCUUUUUUCAUUAUAUAUAUAGCUUCCCUUACUCACAUCUCAUGCCACUGUUCAAAGCUGAGCUGAACUCACAAGAAACACUCUUUCAGUUCAACUUCAACCACCUUUGUCUAGCUUUUCAAAAUGUCCUGUGUAAUGCAGGACGAGCUCUUGAAGCUCUUCCUCAUGAUUCCUCGUAAUGAAGGUCAACAUACUCCAAGUCCUAUCAUGUGGUAGAUGUUAAGGCGGUAUCUCUCCUGAGCUUAUUCUUCUUACAUUUUUUUUAUCGUUUUAUCAACUUUAUGAAUAAUGUUCAAGUUUUCUUGACCUUGCAAGUCCACAAGAAGAAAAGACUGGUCAAAAUUACUUGUAACUUUUUCAUAAAAGUAUGAGAUUUAGUAGAUUAGGUAGAAUAUUUUAGACGGUAGAUGUUUGAUCCUAUCCCUCCUUGAGCUUGAGCUUGUUGGUUUACCAUUUAUCUUUUAUUUAUGUGUAUUUUGCUUUGUGUAAUAAAUGUAAUCUUCUUUUCCUAAUCAGUGAAGAUAGUGAAUGGUUCAUACCAUCAUAUAUUUGUCUCU